Molecule: ribosomal RNA, 261 nt
Filed under: uncultured bacterium
Lineage: Bacteria
Description: partial 16S rRNA
Rfam family: Bacterial small subunit ribosomal RNA
Source: RNAcentral
GUGUCAGCAGCCGCGGUAAUACGUAGGUGGCAAGCGUUGUCCGGAUUUAUUGGGCGUAAAGGAUGCGCAGGCGGAUAUUUAAGUGAGAUGUGAAAUCCCACGGCUUAACUUGGGGGCUGCAUUUCAAACUGGAUGUCUUGAGUGCAGGAGAGGAAAGCAGAAUUCCUAGUGUAGCGGUGAAAUGCGUAGAGAUUAGGAAGAACACCAGUGGCGAAGGCGGCUUUCUGGACUGCAACUGACGCUGAGGCAUGAAAGCAUGGG